GGAGAGGUGGCCGAGCGGCCUAAGGCGGCGCCCUGCUAAGGCGUUGGGCGGGUCCUCCCGCUCCGAGGGUUCGAAUCCCUCCCUCUCCG
This 89-nucleotide transfer RNA is filed under the name Hydrogenivirga sp. 128-5-R1-1. It matches the Rfam family "tRNA". From Rfam's summary of the family: Transfer RNA (tRNA) molecules are approximately 80 nucleotides in length. Their secondary structure includes four short double-helical elements and three loops (D, anti-codon, and T loops). Lineage: Bacteria; Pseudomonadati; Aquificota; Aquificia; Aquificales; Aquificaceae. The record is from Rfam by way of RNAcentral.